Molecule: long non-coding RNA, 872 nt
Filed under: Bos mutus (wild yak)
Lineage: Eukaryota; Metazoa; Chordata; Mammalia; Artiodactyla; Bovidae
Description: lncRNA (ENSBMUG00000001216.1)
Source: RNAcentral
AAAUUAAAUGUUUUUCUCACAGUGAAUUAUGGUCAAAGAAAUUUGAAUGACAUUGACUUGUGAUUUCUAUGGUAAAAUGCUUUCUUUGGGGUAUAAAUACAGAAAUGUUUAUAUAUACAUAAACCUACUCCAAUCCUCUUUUCCUUUCUGCUCUGACCCUCCAUCUGUAAACCUGAGCAAGGCUGAGGAGGUGGGCUAUCGCGGGCAAGACUGCAGUUUCCAAAACAACUUCAGAGCAGAACAGAAGGAGUGUGCCUGCAUGUGAAAUAGCUGGUUUCCCAGUAACAGGUCCUACUCUCUAUGAUGAGAAGGAACCCUCUCAACAGCCCUGUGACACUCACUAAACAACCCGUGGCCACCACGGACACCAGGGAGACCACCCUGGUUCCCUGGCCACUGCCGAGGCUUCUGAAGCCCACCUGAUCACUUGGAGCAUCUGCUUCCCUGCAGAGGCAAGACCUCAGGUGGGAGAGAGCACCGUCUACCAUUCACCUGGAUUGGGUAGGAGAGACAGCUGUCUACAAUCCACCUGGAAGGCAGAACAGUGGCCUCAACCAAAACAAGAGAGACAGAGGAUGUCAACCACUGAAUCUUUCUAAUAUCUGGACAGACUUCAAAUGACUUUUUGGAUUAUAAGGUGUAUUUUGCAAGACUUUGAUGACAUAUGGGCUUCCCUGGUGGCUCAGAUGGUAAAUCGUCAGCCUGCAAUGCAGGAGACCUGCGUUCGAUCCCUGGGUCAGGAAGAUCCCCUGGAGAAGGAAAUGGCAACCCACUCCAGUACUCUUGCCUGGAAAAUUCCAUGGACGGAGGAGCUUGGUGAGCUACAGUCCAUGGGGUCACAGAGUCAGACACGACUGAGAGACUUCACUUGA